RNAcentral lists this small RNA (662 nucleotides) under Pongo abelii (Sumatran orangutan). Its description in RNAcentral is "processed transcript". Lineage: Eukaryota; Metazoa; Chordata; Mammalia; Primates; Hominidae. The record is from RNAcentral.
GGGCACAAGAGCUCCGAGCCCGGUCGUCGGGGCAGUAGAACCUGGAGGCGAGGGAGUGGUCUGGUGGGUUCUGCGCCCGUUAGGCAAUGGAGAAGGAUGUUUUCUCAUAUUCACUCUUUAGAUUCCAUUAGCGGUGUAAAUAGGUGUUUUUCUCUUUACUUUAGAGUUGACGUUAGGCUAAUGGGUUCAACUUUGGGAAUGCUUUUUUUUUUUAAAGGAAGGGCCGUGUUUCGUAGGGUACGUAAACCAUGAGCAUAAUUGUAUUUUUUGCGUAUUCCAGGUUUGCUUGUGAAGGUCAGAGUAGCCGGAUUUAAGUGAAGGAGUUCAGUAGACAUGCAGACAUGGUCACCUGGUUCAUUUUCUGAACCCUGGAUUGUGCCCUCGGUACAGCUAUAACCAGAAUUUGGUAGAAAAAGGAUCUACUUGUUGGGGCCCUCUUGAUAAAAAGAGAUGUGGGGGGAUCCUCGACCUGCUAACAGAACUGGACCUUUUCGGACUGGGUGAAAGCUUUUUCUGCAGCAGUCAUGUUGAAAACCUUGUGUUGACUUUCCUCGUGUACUGAAAUGGGAGCAUAAAAGUUUACUCCGCCACUUCGUCUUAAAAUAGCAAAACUUUGCUGUUUUCUGCAGAUCUAGGACCUUGUUACAGAACUCUGCCAAAAA